Molecule: ribosomal RNA, 800 nt
Filed under: Arthrobacter sp.
Lineage: Bacteria; Bacillati; Actinomycetota; Actinomycetes; Micrococcales; Micrococcaceae
Description: bacterial SSU rRNA
Rfam family: Bacterial small subunit ribosomal RNA
Source: RNAcentral
CACUUGUGGGUGGAUUAGUGGCGAACGGGUGAGUAACACGUGAGUAACCUGCCCUUAACUCUGGGAUAAGCCUGGGAAACUGGGUCUAAUACCGGAUAUGACUCCUCAUCGCAUGGUGGGGGGUGGAAAGCUUUUUGUGGUUUUGGAUGGACUCGCGGCCUAUCAGCUUGUUGGUGAGGUAAUGGCUCACCAAGGCGACGACGGGUAGCCGGCCUGAGAGGGUGACCGGCCACACUGGGACUGAGACACGGCCCAGACUCCUACGGGAGGCAGCAGUGGGGAAUAUUGCACAAUGGGCGCAAGCCUGAUGCAGCGACGCCGCGUGAGGGAUGACGGCCUUCGGGUUGUAAACCUCUUUCAGUAGGGAAGAAGCGAAAGUGACGGUACCUGCAGAAGAAGCGCCGGCUAACUACGUGCCAGCAGCCGCGGUAAUACGUAGGGCGCAAGCGUUAUCCGGAAUUAUUGGGCGUAAAGAGCUCGUAGGCGGUUUGUCGCGUCUGCCGUGAAAGUCCGGGGCUCAACUCCGGAUCUGCGGUGGGUACGGGCAGACUAGAGUGAUGUAGGGGAGACUGGAAUUCCUGGUGUAGCGGUGAAAUGCGCAGAUAUCAGGAGGAACACCGAUGGCGAAGGCAGGUCUCUGGGCAUUAACUGACGCUGAGGAGCGAAAGCAUGGGGAGCGAACAGGAUUAGAUACCCUGGUAGUCCAUGCCGUAAACGUUGGGCACUAGGUGUGGGGGACAUUCCACGUUUUCCGCGCCGUAGCUAACGCAUUAAGUGCCCCGCCUGGGGAGUACGGCCGC